This 296-nucleotide unclassified non-coding RNA is filed under the name Hevea brasiliensis (rubber tree). Lineage: Eukaryota; Viridiplantae; Streptophyta; Magnoliopsida; Malpighiales; Euphorbiaceae. The record is from RNAcentral.
GUUUGACUCAUUGAUUUUGAUUUGAUUUAAACCAGUCCUGUUUCGGAUUUGAAUCAGACUGCGGUUAGGUUUAGACCCAGCCACCAUUGGAACAAUAUAUAUGGGGGAUCUAAUAAUUUUGUAUAUGGGUUUUACAUAUUUGCAUAUGUGGUCUAUUCUCAUUUUCUACUCUCCAAAAAUUGUAGAGCCCAUGUGGUAGCAAUAGAUCAAUAAAGUAGACAGCUCACAAUCAGUGAGCUUUAGCUAAGUGAUAUUGGAAUCAUCUAGGUUUCGAGUUCGAGUCAUAGUCGGAGUCA